GAGAAGAACGCAGUGAAAUGCGAUAAGUAGUGUGAAUUGCAGAAUUCAGUGAAUCAUCGAAUCUUUGAACGCACAUUGCGCCCCUUGGUAUUCCAUGGGGCAUGCCUGUUCGAGCGUCAUUUGUACCUUCAAGCUUUGCUUGGUGUUGGGUGUUUGUCCCUCGGGACUCGCCUUAAAGUCAUUGGCAGCCAGUGUUUUGGUUUUGAAGCGCAGCACAAGUCGCGAUUCAAGGCUAUCCGCCCGCUUCCACAAGCCUUUUUCACUUUUGACCUCGGAUCAGGUAGGGAUACCCGCUGAACUUAAGCAUAUCAAUAAGCGGAGGA
RNAcentral lists this unclassified non-coding RNA (323 nucleotides) under soil metagenome. RNAcentral's name for it is "partial contains 5.8S ribosomal RNA, internal transcribed spacer 2, and large subunit ribosomal RNA". The stretch from base 3 to 119 matches the Rfam family "5.8S ribosomal RNA", at positions 38 to 154 of the family's 154-position model. The record is from RNAcentral.